CGGGGUGGAGUAACGCGUGGGUAACCUGCCUCAUACAGGGGGAUAACAGUUAGAAAUGACUGCUAAUACCGCAUAAGCGCACAGUGCUGCAUGGCACAGUGUGAAAAACUCCGGUGGUAUGAGAUGGACCCGCGUCUGAUUAGGUAGUUGGUGGGGUAACGGCCUACCAAGGCGACGAUCAGUAGCCGGCCUGAGAGGGUGAACGGCCACAUUGGGACUGAGACACGGCCCAA
Molecule: ribosomal RNA, 233 nt
Filed under: uncultured bacterium
Lineage: Bacteria
Description: partial 16S ribosomal RNA
Rfam family: Bacterial small subunit ribosomal RNA
Source: RNAcentral